RNA transcript from Myotis davidii, 1613 nucleotides. It is a transcript of the gene named 26S protease regulatory subunit 4 pseudogene, with no coding region annotated. The record is from RefSeq and is a predicted model, not a curated record. NCBI's taxonomy places the organism in Eukaryota, Metazoa, Chordata, Mammalia, Chiroptera, Vespertilionidae. The transcript has a single exon.
UGUGCCAGGAAAUUUUGAAAGUACUUUGCAACAGUAAUUCAUUUAAAAAUCAGAACACACUUCCGGCAGUGGUGGCUUGUGCUGCCGAGGGAAGAUGGGUCAAAGUCAGAGUGGUGGUCAUGGUCCUGGAGGUGGCAAGAAGGAUGACAAGGACAAGAAGAAGAAAUAUGAACCUCCCAUACCAAUUAGAGUGGGGAAAAAGAAGAAGAAAACAAAGGGACCAGAUGCUGCCAGCAAACUGCCACUGGUGACACCUCACACUCAGUGCCAGUUAAAAUUAUUGAAGUUAGAAAGAAUUAAAGACUGUCUUCUCAUGGAGGAAGAAUUCAUUAGAAAUCAGGAACAAAUGAAGCCUUUAAAAGAAAAGCAAGAGGAGGAAAGAUCAAAGGUGGAUGACCUGAGGGGAACCCCAGAGUCAGUGGGGACCUUGGAAGAGAUCAUUGAUGACAACCAUGCCAUCGUGUCUACAUCUGUGGGCUCAGAACACUAUGUCAGCAUUCUUUCCUUUGUGGACAAGGACUUGGUGGAAUCAGGCUGCUCCAUCCUGCUCAAUCACAGGUGCGUGCUGUAAUAGGGGUACUGAUGGAUGACACGGAUCCCUUGGUCAUGGUGAUGAAGGUGGUAAAGGCCCUGCAGGAGACCUCUGCCAACAUUGGGGGGUUGGACAACCAAAUCCAGGAAAUUAAGCAAUCUGUGGAACUUCCUCUCACUCAUCCUGAGUAUUAUGAAGAGAUGGGUAUAAAGCCCCGUAAGGGGGUCAUUCUCUAUGGGCCACCUGACACAGGUAAAACCUUACUGGCUAAAGCAGUAGCAAACCAAACCUCAGCCACUUUCUUGAAAGUGGUUGGCUCUGAACUUACUCAGAAGUACCUAGGUGACAGGCAUAAGCUCGUUUGGGAAUUGUUUUGAGUUGCUGAAGAACAUGCACCAUCCAACGUGUUUAUUGAUGAAAUUGAAGGCAUUGGGAAAAAAAGAUAAGACUCAAACUCCGGUGGUGAGAGAGAAAUUCAGCAAAUAAUGUUGGAACUGUUGAACCAGUUGCAUGGAUUUGAGUCAAGGGGAGGUGUAAAAGUUAUCAUGGCCACAAACUGAAUAGGAACUCUGGAUCCAGCACUAAUCAGACCAGGCUGCAUCGACGGAAGAUUGAGUUCCCCCUGCCUGAUGAAAAGACCAAGAAGUGCAUCUUUCAGAUCCACACAGGCAGAAUGACGCUGGCUGAUGACGUGACACUGGACAACUUGGUCAUGGCUAAGGAUGACCCCUCUGGUGCUGACAUCAAGGCAAUCUGUACAGAAGCUGGUCUCAUGGCUUUGAGAGAAUGUAGAAUGAAAGUCACAAAUGAAGACUUCAAAAAAUCGAAAGAAAAUGUUCUGUAUAAAAAAGAAGGUACCCCUAAGGGGCUCUAUCUCUAGGGAACCUCAGUUGCCUUCAAGGAAGUGGUCAGGUCAGGGGUGCCGACCCUGGGGGAGAGGUGGUGAAGUUGCCCAGAGGAGCCCAUUCAGCUGCUCUUCAUUAGCAGCACAUUCUGUGCCCUGUGCACCUCUCUGAGCACCACGUGUAGGAGCCCAAUGUGCAGCGCUCCAUUCCCAAUAAAGUGAGCUCUUUCUCAAAAA